This 72-nucleotide transfer RNA is filed under the name Babesia rodhaini. RNAcentral's name for it is "tRNA-Thr". It matches the Rfam family "tRNA". Rfam says of the family: Transfer RNA (tRNA) molecules are approximately 80 nucleotides in length. The record is from RNAcentral. Lineage: Eukaryota; Apicomplexa; Aconoidasida; Piroplasmida; Babesiidae.
GCUAAUAUAGUUUAGUAGUAAAAUAACUGAUUUGUAAUCAGUAGAGCAUGAGUUCAAUUCUCAUUGUUAGUU